AACGAACGCUGGCGGCAUGCCUAACACAUGCAAGUCGAACGAGACCUUCGGGUCUAGUGGCGCACGGGUGCGUAACGCGUGGGAACCUGCCUUUAGGUUCGGAAUAACUCAGAGAAAUUUGAGCUAAUACCGGAUAAUGUCUUCGGACCAAAGAUUUAUCGCCUUUAGAUGGGCCCGCGUAAGAUUAGCUAGUUGGUGGGGUAAAGGCCUACCAAGGCGACGAUCUUUAGCUGGUCUGAGAGGAUGAUCAGCCACACUGGGACUGAGACACGGCCCAGACUCCUACGGGAGGCAGCAGUGGGGAAUAUUGGACAAUGGGCGAAAGCCUGAUCCAGCAAUGCCGCGUGAGUGAUGAAGGCCUUAGGGUCGUAAAGCCCUGUCGCAGGGGAAGAAUAAGCAUCGGUAUAAUACGCCGGUGCCCUGACGGUACCCUGCAAGAAGCACCGGCUAACUCCGUGCCAGCAGCCGCGGUAAU
Molecule: ribosomal RNA, 475 nt
Filed under: uncultured bacterium
Lineage: Bacteria
Description: bacterial SSU rRNA
Rfam family: Bacterial small subunit ribosomal RNA
Source: RNAcentral